GAUGAACGCUAGCGGCAGGCUUAACACAUGCAAGUCGAGGGGCAGCGCGGGAUAGCAAUAUCCUGGCGGCGACCGGCGGAAGGGUGCGUAACGCGUGAGCGACAUGCCCGUUGCCCGGGGACAACCGGUGGAAACGCCGACUAAUCCCCGAUGGGAUAUUGUGCCGCAUGGCACGAUAUUGAAAGUUACGGCGGCGACGGAUUGGCUCGCGUCCGAUUAGCUGGUGGGCGGGGUAACGGCCCACCAAGGCUGCGAUCGGUAGGGGUUCUGAGAGGAAGGCCCCCCACAAUGGGACUGAGACACGGCCCAUACUCCUACGGGAGGCAGCAGUGAGGAAUAUUGGUCAAUGGGCGGAAGCCUGAACCAGCCAUGCCGCGUGCGGGAAGGAGGCCCUAUGGGCUGUGAACCGCUUUUGCCUGGGGGCAAUAAGGGCGUCGCGCACGUCCGAUGAGAGUACCAGGCGAAUAAGCAUCGGCUAACUCCGUG
This 486-nucleotide ribosomal RNA is filed under the name uncultured bacterium. RNAcentral's name for it is "partial 16S ribosomal RNA". It matches the Rfam family "Bacterial small subunit ribosomal RNA", at positions 28 to 507 of the family's 1533-position model. The record is from RNAcentral.